UGAGGAAUAUUGGUCAAUGGGCGGGAGCCUGAACCAGCCAAGUCGCGUGAGGGAAGACGGUCCUACGGAUUGUAAACCUCUUUUGCCGGGGAGCAACGGGGUCCUUGCGAGGGCCCGAUGAGAGUACCCGGAG
This 133-nucleotide ribosomal RNA is filed under the name uncultured bacterium. RNAcentral's name for it is "partial 16S ribosomal RNA". It matches the Rfam family "Bacterial small subunit ribosomal RNA", at positions 355 to 484 of the family's 1533-position model. The record is from RNAcentral.